This 493-nucleotide ribosomal RNA is filed under the name uncultured bacterium. Its description in RNAcentral is "bacterial SSU rRNA". It matches the Rfam family "Bacterial small subunit ribosomal RNA", at positions 15 to 518 of the family's 1533-position model. The record is from RNAcentral.
GAUUAUGGCUCAGAACGAACGCUGGUGGCGUGUCUUAUACAUGCAAGUCGAGCGAGGCAGCAAUGCCGAGCGGCGAACGGGUGAGUAACGCGUAAGCAAUCUGCCCCAUAUCAGGAAAUACCCGUGCCAACGCGCGGUUAAUGUCCAGGAGAGUGGCUCCUUGCAUGAGGAGUUGACUAGAGAUUUAUCGGUAUGGGAUGAGCUUGCGUCCGAUUAGCUAGUUGGCGGGGCAACGGCCCACCAAGGCGACGAUCGGUAGCCGGCCUGAGAGGGUGAUCGGCCACAUUGGGACUGAGAUACGGCCCAGACUCCUACGGGAGGCAGCAGUAGGGAAUAUUGCACAAUGGGGGAAACCCUGAUGCAGCAACGCCAACCGUGUGGGAAGAAGCAUUUCGGUGUGUAAACCACUGUCAUGAGGGAAUAAGGCCCGCCUCCGGGCGGGAUUGAAUGUACCUUGAGAGGAAGCACCGGCAAACUUCGUGCCAGCCGCGGC